This 253-nucleotide ribosomal RNA is filed under the name uncultured bacterium. RNAcentral's name for it is "partial 16S ribosomal RNA". It matches the Rfam family "Bacterial small subunit ribosomal RNA", at positions 524 to 776 of the family's 1533-position model. The record is from RNAcentral.
UACGUAGGAGGCAAGCGUUGUCCGGAAUUACUGGGCGUAAAGCGUCCGUAGGCGGCUAAUCAAGUCUGCUGUCAAAGCGUGGAGCUUAACUCCAUACCGGCGGUGGAAACUGAUGAGCUAGAGUGCGAUAGGGGUAGCAGGAAUUCCCAGUGUAGCGGUGAAAUGCGUAGAGAUUGGGAAGAACACCAGCGGCGAAAGCGUGCUACUGGGUCUGCACUGACACUGAGGGACGAAAGCUAGGGGAGCGAAAGGG